CCUACGGGAGGCAGCAGUGAGGAAUAUUGGUCAAUGGGCGAGAGCCUGAACCAGCCAAGUCGCGUGAAGGAUGAAGGAUCUAUGGUUUGUAAACUUCUUUUAUAUGGGAAUAAAGUGAGGAACGUGUUCCUUUUUGUAUGUACCAUAUGAAUAAGCAUCGGCUAACUCCGUGCCAGCAGCCGCGGUAAUACGGAGGAUGCGAGCGUUAUCCGGAUUUAUUGGGUUUAAAGGGUGCGUAGGUGGUUAAUUAAGUCAGCGGUGAAAGUUUGUGGCUCAACCAUAAAAUUGCCGUUGAAACUGGUUGACUUGAGUAUAUUAGAGGUAGGCGGAAUGCGUGGUGUAGCGGUGAAAUGCAUAGAUAUCACGCAGAACUCCGAUUGCGAAGGCAGCUUACUAGACUAUAACUGACACUGAGGCACGAAAGCGUGGGGAUCGAACAGGAUUAGAUACCCUGGUAGUC
RNAcentral lists this ribosomal RNA (460 nucleotides) under uncultured bacterium. RNAcentral describes it as "partial 16S ribosomal RNA". It matches the Rfam family "Bacterial small subunit ribosomal RNA", at positions 338 to 795 of the family's 1533-position model. The record is from RNAcentral.